This 506-nucleotide ribosomal RNA is filed under the name uncultured bacterium. Its description in RNAcentral is "partial 16S ribosomal RNA". It matches the Rfam family "Bacterial small subunit ribosomal RNA", at positions 29 to 523 of the family's 1533-position model. The record is from RNAcentral.
AGUGAACGCUGGCGGUAGGCCUAACACAUGCAAGUCGAACGGCAGCACAGGAGAGCUUGCUCUCUGGGUGGCGAGUGGCGGACGGGUGAGGAAUACAUCGGAAUCUACUAUGUCAUGGGGGAUAACGUAGGGAGACUUACGCUAAUACCGCAUACGAACUACGGGUGAAAGCAGGGGACCUUCGGGCCUUGCGCGAUUGAAUGAGCCGAUGUCGGAUUAGCUAGUUGGCGGGGUAAAGGCCCACCAAGGCGACGAUCCGUAGCUGGUCUGAGAGGAUGAUCAGCCACACUGGAACUAAGACACGGGCCAGAAUCCUACGGGAUGCAGCAGUGGGGAAUAUUGGACAAUGGGCGCAAGCCUGAUCCAGCCAUACCGCGUGGGUGAAGAAGGCCUUCGGGUUGUAAAGCCCUUUUGUUGGGAAAGAAAUCCAGCUGGCUAAUACCCGGUUGGGAUGACGGUACCCAAAGAAUAAGCACCGUCUAACUUCGUGCCAGCCGCCGCCGUAA